RNAcentral lists this long non-coding RNA (354 nucleotides) under Numida meleagris (helmeted guineafowl). RNAcentral's name for it is "lncRNA (ENSNMEG00000018685.1)". Lineage: Eukaryota; Metazoa; Chordata; Aves; Galliformes; Numididae. The record is from RNAcentral.
GUUUGCUGUGCUUCACACAAUCCUGCUCGGGCCGAGCUCCAGCCUUGAACUCAUUAGGGCUGUGUAAGGAGCUUCCUGGCCCCGGCUGCGCAGACGGGACACCGGGAGCGGGGAGCUAUGGGUGUGCUUUUCAUGGACCACGAGAGGAGGUAAAGCAACCUGCUUUGAAGAGUGGAGAGGAAUGUUUUGCCUAGUUUGGAAAACUGGUGACAUGAAAGAUACUUUUGGGCUGUAAGAGGAAGAAAGCUCAGUUAUUUCAGAGCAUGCACCCCCAGUGAACGUGAGUAGACUGUGUGUUCUCAUAAUUUUCCAAAAAGGUUAGUCCUGAGAGCUGACAUUCCUUAAAAGUUAAAG